UAUAUAUAUAGAUAUAUAUAUAUUCCGCACCCCAUUAUUUGCUGGAGUUGUGAAAUCGCCAAGUGGCUUUCUCCCUUUCCUCCUACCCCCAGAGGAAUGUCUCUGGCAAAUCCACGGAGCACAAGGGCAGUUUCUGUGUUGAGGGCUGGGAGGUACAGUGAAGGUUUAUUCUUCGCUGUGCAUCUAGAGCCCAGCUCCCCUGGGGUUUAAACCACACGAUGGCAGUGGACUCAUGUGACUCCAGUAUGCAUCAUUACAUACAUACACUUAUAGAGAAGCGAGGCCCAGGCAAAUGUGUUGAAUGGGGCCAUUAAGUUUCCGAGAAGGAAGAAUAUAGUGCUUUUUGUUUUUAUGCUGACUGGAGAAAAAUAAGCAAAAGUACAAAGUACUUCUUCAUGAUCUUAAAGCAGAAUCUGUACAUUAAUGCUGGCCUCCAGUAAAGCCCAGUACAUAAAGAUCAGGGUGAAGAAAAAUUCCACAGGAAAGGGGGUGAUUAGUUAACUAACUAAUCAGCUAACUCCCUGAUUUAAGUCAGUGGAUAAUUUCCAUGAAUUUAAAAAGAUGGAGGAAAGCAGGAGAUUUUUUAAAGUCCUUACAUUUCAUGUAAUCCAGGUGGUGUUUGAACUGUGGGUUGAUAUUUACUGAGUCAUGAACUUGAUGCAUUGACUCAAAGCUACCAUUUUAAAAAAUGACAUGAAGUAGAAUAGCAGAGUACAUAACAUAGGAAGAAUAAAUAUAUAAAUGUACAUUAUUUAAUAUGUAAAUAUAUUACAUAAAUCUUUUGUUUCCAUUAAUGUAUGUGUGUGUGCAGGGAGUCAACUGUGUAACAUGUCCUUUCUUAUUGUGCAUUGAGGUCAAAGCUUGAAGAGUUACUAGUGGGGUACGGGCACUGUCUGGAUCACCCAGUGAGUUGGAGUGGUAGGGAAAUUUAGGUUCUCUCUUAGUAAUCCUGUGCUUUGUCAAUUCCGCCACGCUGAAGGAGGAGGAGGAGGAGAAGGAAAAGGGCUAGGAACCAUUUCUUCAGUCCUUUAUUUCAUUUUUCAACAAAGGCUUUUAUUAGCUACUCUAUCUCAGGCCUAGUGCUAAAAACUGGGGGCUCAAUGGAGAACAAAUUAACUUGUCAUCUCUGUCAACUUAGAGUCCAGGGGGGAGGCAGACAUUAAACAAGUAAACACAAAAGUAACUAUAUAUACAAUAAAUAUAGGGCUGAUGAACAUAAGAUGUAUAUUUAAAUUUUAAAAUAUUUAUUAUUAUAAGACACAUUGCCAUUAAUCCCCCUCAAAAUGCUCCGCUUUGAUUAGAACACUGUUAUUCUAUCCCAUCAUUCUUGCCACUCUCUAAAGCAGUUCUGGAAGUUUUCUUUCAUGAGUGUCUUUAUGAGGUAUGAUCAAAACUACUGUGGAUGCUGCUCCCAAGUGCCAUCCAAUGGAAAGGCAGGCUCAUAAAAACAUUACAACAUGAUCUCAUCCACUGUAUUCACCAGAUCUGGUACUGCACGACCUCUGGUUUUUCCCCAAAGUCAAAAUGACCAUGAAAAGUAAAUUUUUAAUUGAUGUAGGACAAUGAGGAAGCCACAACAGAGCUAAAGACAGUCACAAAAGAGGAUUUCCAGAACUACUUCGGACAAGUGGCAAGAAUGAUGGGGGCAUUCCCACCUGAGGUCUCAGAUGGCUGGAGCAGCUGUAGUUAUUACAGUCCUGGCAGUGUCCAAGGGCAGCGGAAGAGAAUGGGGAACUAACUCUUUCCCAUGAACUUUGGACCGACCACUAGUCAAAGCUGAGUCAAAAGCCCAAUCCUAAACGCCAGGAACAGAGGAGGAAUUACCUCAGGCGAUUGGCAGAAGCUCUUCAGGCUCUGCCCCUGAACUCUCCAGGUUGCUUUCUUUGAGAAUUGGACAGCCGAGCACAAAAGAGAAGGUGGCAUUGGAUCUUGGGUAGGCAAUCUAAAGUCAGGUGCAGAGACUCAGGGAUGUCUUCUCCAGGAAAAGAUGACAUCCAAACCCAGGUGAGUGAUACUCAAAGGAUAAGAAGGAAAAGCCUUGCCAGGCAGAGGAGACCGCGUGUGUGAAGUCUGACUCUGCACCACGUGGUGAAGGCUUCCGUGUCAUUAUUUUUUCACUCUGUCCCCGAGAGGAGCCAAGCAGACCACAGAAAGCAAGCUCAAAGAGUUAAAUAAUCGAUUAAGUUCACAGAGCUAAUAAGUUGCAGGACUAACCUGUGUCAUUCCAGAACACAAGAGCUUGGCCUUUCCUGCCUCUCCAG
This is a long non-coding RNA of Heterocephalus glaber (naked mole-rat), 2261 nucleotides long. Lineage: Eukaryota; Metazoa; Chordata; Mammalia; Rodentia; Bathyergidae. The record is from Ensembl.